Molecule: transfer RNA, 90 nt
Filed under: Flexivirga endophytica
Lineage: Bacteria; Bacillati; Actinomycetota; Actinomycetes; Micrococcales; Dermacoccaceae
Description: tRNA-Thr
Source: RNAcentral
ACACGAGUCAGCGCGCCGGUCGCGACGCCGCGCUGGUUGGUGACCAGCACGACCGCGGUCCCGGCGCGGUUCGCCGUCGCGAUCGCGUCC